Molecule: ribosomal RNA, 253 nt
Filed under: uncultured bacterium
Lineage: Bacteria
Description: partial 16S ribosomal RNA
Rfam family: Bacterial small subunit ribosomal RNA
Source: RNAcentral
UACGUAGGGGGCAAGCGUUGUCCGGAAUCAUUGGGCGUAAAGCGCGUGUAGGCGGCUGGGUAAGUCCGCUCUGAAAGCCCGGGGCUCAACCCCGGGAGGCGGGUGGAUACUGCUCAGCUCGAGUCCGGAAGAGGAGUGUGGAAUUCCUGGUGUAGCGGUGAAAUGCGUAGAUAUUGGGAGGAACACCGGUGGCGAAGGCGGCCCUCUGGACCGGUACUGACGCUGAUGCGCGAAAGCGUGGGGAGCAAACGGG